CCUGAUGCAGCAACGCCGCGUGAGGGAUGACGGCCUUCGGGUUGUAAACCUCUUUUAGCAAGGAAGAAGCGAAAGUGACGGUACUUGCAGAAAAAGCGCCGGCUAACUACGUGCCAGCAGCCGCGGUAAUACGUAGGGCGCAAGCGUUAUCCGGAAUUAUUGGGCGUAAAGAGCUCGUAGGCGGUUUGUCGCGUCUGCUGUGAAAACCCGAGGCUCAACCUCGGGCCUGCAGUGGGUACGGGCAGACUAGAGUGCGGUAGGGGAGAUUGGAAUUCCUGGUGUAGCGGUGGAAUGCGCAGAUAUCAGGAGGAACACCGAUGGCGAAGGCAGAUCUCUGGGCCGUAACUGACGCUGAGGAGCGAAAGGGUGGGGAGCAAACAGGCUUAGAUACCCUGGUAGUCCACCCCGUAAACGUUGGGAACUAGUUGUGGGGUCCUUUCCACGGAUUCCGUGACGCAGCUAACGCAUUAAGUUCCCCGCCUGGGGAGUACGGCCGCAAGGCUAAAACUCAAAUGAAUUGACGGGG
Molecule: ribosomal RNA, 526 nt
Filed under: Microbacterium aureliae
Lineage: Bacteria; Bacillati; Actinomycetota; Actinomycetes; Micrococcales; Microbacteriaceae
Description: bacterial SSU rRNA
Rfam family: Bacterial small subunit ribosomal RNA
Source: RNAcentral